Molecule: ribosomal RNA, 253 nt
Filed under: uncultured bacterium
Lineage: Bacteria
Description: partial 16S ribosomal RNA
Rfam family: Bacterial small subunit ribosomal RNA
Source: RNAcentral
UACGGAGGGUGCAAGCGUUAUCCGGAUUCACUGGGUUUAAAGGGUGCGUAGGUGGUAAUGUAGGUCAGUGGUGAAAUCUCCGUGCUUAACAUGGAAACUGCCAUUGAUACUAUGUUUCUUGAAUCUUCCGGAGGUCAGCGGAAUAUGUCAUGUAGCGGUGAAAUGCUUAGAUAUGACAUAGAACACCAAUUGCGAAGGCAGCUGACUACAGGGGCAUUGACACUGAGGCACGAAAGCGUGGGGAUCAAACAGG